GCCUGCGCAUUGGCUAGCUGCUCACAGCCGCGUACCCCUGGCGCUGCUACCUCGCUCGGUUCGGUGUCCGUGCCGCUUGGACCUUGACCUCGAGUGCACGCGCGGGCACCUUGGUUCCUUAGGUCUGCGGGAGUCCUCGGCGGAGAGUCCAAAGCAAACCUCGAAGAGGGACUCCUCAAUGGGCUUCGGGCUGAGCGGGGCAGCAGAAGAAGAGGCCGCAACCUCCUCCAAGUCCAUGCGUCUGCCUGGUUUCGCAGUACGUUAUGGAUCCCACCCUCUUGCUGUCUUUUCCAGACCACUCAGCAGUUAAAAUGAGAGGGACGGGAGCAGCACUCACCAGGCUCAGAGGUAAGCACCUGGCCAACUCAAGACCAUAGACGGGUUAAGGGAGCUGGCAUCUGUGGGGCAAGGACUAGGGGAGAUGGUGUUAUGGAAUAAUAAAAUAUCUGGGUCCCUUUCCAGGAAUUCUUAUUACAGACCCGUUAGUGGAGUUGUUAGAGGAGCAGGAACAAAGAUAUUCAUUGGCAGGUUUUUAUAAUAGUGGAAGCCUGAAAACCUAAACGACUUUAAGACUGAGCUUGAUAAAUAAUGGUUCAUCUGUUCUGCAGAGAAUUAGGCAGCCAACACCAAGAAAAGCUAAUACUGUAGGACCUCAAGAAUACAAAGCUAAAUAGAAAAUGUUUGUUUCUACUUAUUUUAAAAAAUGGAGGACUUUUAAGAUUAUGUACGCAUAAAAUCAGUCUUUACCAUUGCUUUCGGUUCUAACAUUCUAAAGCCUGGUAUGCCACAAGGGGAAAAAAAGGAUAUUUUUCUAAGCUUGGGCAAGAUUUCAAUUUUAUUUUAUUUUUAUUUUAUUGUCUCUUUAGGGCCACACCCACGGCAUAUCAAUGUUCCCAGGCAUGGGGUUGAAUCGGAGUUGUAGCUGGAGGCCUACACCACAGCCACAGCAGCGUGGGAUCCGAGCCACAUCUGAGACCUACACCACAGCUCAUGGCAAUGCCAGAUACUUAACCCACUGAGCAGUGCCAGGGAUCAAACCCACGUCCUCAUGAAUACCAUUCGGAUACGUUUACCACCGAGCCACGACAGGAACACCAAGGUUUAAAUUUUAAAGUCUAUAUUGUUUUCCACAGUUCCUGGCCUGACCAUAUAGCAGGCACUCAGUAUUUGUUUAAGUUGUCUAGAUAUAGAGAUGAAUUUUUCCUCACACCUCUGCUCACUCCUUCACUCCCUACCAUACCUGGGGACUUCAUCUACCACUGGCUCCGUAGAAACACCCCACAUGUAUAUUAAUAACAUGUUCUUUUUUCUUUUUUUUCUUGUAAAAAUCUCUUUUUACAUUACUGAGACUCUUGCUUAGACACUAAAUCUCUGGCACCCGGGAUCAUUUUAGUAUAUAUUACUAGAAAUUAGUGAUCUUGGGUUUUUUUUUCCUGGAUGAAAACUUCGAUAUAUUCUUUUCUUUUUUUGCUUUUUAGGGCCGCAACUGCAGCAUUUGCAAGUUCCCAGGCUGGGGGUCUAAUUGGAGCUGUAGCUACCCUCCUACACCACAGCAAUGCUGGAUCCUUAACCCACUGAACAAGUCCAGGAAUCGAACCCACAUCUUCAUGGAUACUAGUUGGAUUCGUUUUCGUUGCACCACACAAAACUCCUCAAUAUAUUUUUUGCUUUUGCCUCUCUACUCUGUGCCUGGGAUUAUAGAAAUAAAGGGGUAGUCUUGAUCACCUCCCAGGAACUCAGAGUUUGUGAGGAGAGCAGACUGGUAAAUGAAUCAUUAUAAUACCAAGUGACUUGCCCUAUGGCAGGGAUGGUUAUGAGGUGCCAAGGCAGCAGAAAGGAAAAUGGCACAGGUAUGCCCAAGGAUUGAAGGAAAACCUCCAAGGGGUGUAUUUAUUUUCUUUUGCUGCAUAACAAACACCACAGACUUAGUGGCUUCAAACAACACUUGUUUAUUAGCUCACAGUUCUGUAGGUCAGCAUCAGCAUCAUGGCUGGGUUCUCUGGUCAGUAUCACAGGCUGAAAGCAAGAUGUCAGCUGGCCUGAGUUCUCAUCUAGAGGUCCUGGGAAACAUGUGCUUCCAACCUCACUCUUGGCAGAAUUCAGUUUCCUGUAGAGUUGUGGGUUGUUGUACAGGUGAGGUUCCCAUUUCCUUGCAGGCAGUCAGCCAGAGCUUGCUAUCAGCUGCUAGAACCCACUGGCAUUCCUUGCCAUGUGACCUCCUCCAUCCUCAAAGCCAGCAACCAAGGAUUUCUUACACACUGGACCCCCCUUACAUGUUGAAUAUCUGACCUCUUUUUCUUUUUUAAAUUGGAGUAUAGUUGCUUUACAAUGUUGUGUUGGUUUCAGGUGUACAGCAUGUGAUUUAGUUAUACAUAAUUCUUUUUCAGAUUCUUUUCCCAUGUAGGUUAUUUACAAAAUAUUGAGUAGUUUCCUGUGUUAUACAGUUGGUCCUCGUUGACCUAUUUUAUAUAUAGUAGUGUGUAUAUGUUAAUACCAAUCUCUUAACUUAUCCCUCCCCCGCCACAUUUUCACUUUGGUCACCACAAGUUUGGUUUCAAAGCCUGUGAAUCUUUUUCUGUUUUGUAAAUAAGUUCAUUUGUAUCAUUUUUUAUUAGUUUCCACAUGUAAGAGAUACCAUAUGAUAUUUGUUUUUCUCUGACUUAACUUAGUAUGAUAAUCUCUAAGUCCAUCCAGGUUACUGCAAAUGGCAUUAUUUCAUUCUUUUUUAUGGCUGAGUAAUAUUCAAUUGUACAUGUGUACCACAUCUUCUUUAUUCAUUCAUCUCUUAAUGGACAUUUAGCGUAGGAGGGUUCCCUUUUCUCUACACGCUCUCCAGCAUUUAUUGUUUGUAGACUUCUCGAUGAUGGCCAUUCUGACUGGUGUGAGGUGAUACUUCACUGUAAUUUUGAUUUGCAUUUUUCUAAUUAGCAAUGUUGAGCACCUUUUCAUGUGUGUUUUUGGCCAUCUAUAUGUCUUCUUUGGAGAAAUGUCUAUUUAGGUCUUCUGCCAACUUUUUUUGAUUGAGUCAUUUAGGUUUUUUGAUAGCUGAAUGACCUGUUUGUAUACUUUGGAGAAUAUUCCCUUCUUGAUCUUUUCAUUUGCAAAUAUUUUCUCCCAUUCUGUGGGUUGUCUUUUUGUAACUUCCUCUUUUGCUACCAGCCAGAGUAAACUACUUUUAAAGAGUUCAUAUGAUUAGAUCAGGCCCACCAAGAUCAACUAUCAUACGACUAACCCACUUAUAGCCCCCCAGCAGACUGCCUCUUGUUUUUGCAGCAAGGCCUCUAAUGGUGCCCCCAAUUCAUGCCUUCCUUUCCAAAGUCAUCAGAUUUUAGCUGAGUACAUAGGCCCACAUAAUAAAGAGUUCAUGUCCCAGUCUCCCUUGCAGCUGAAUGUGGCCAUGUGACUAAGUACCAGCUAAAGGGAAAUCAGUGGAAGUGUCCAGUCCAAAUACCUUCCUUGAGAGACCCUUCCUCAAGAGACUAUUCCUUUGCCCCUCUGUCUUCCCCCCUCCCUCCAUCCUAGAAUACCUCCCUGCUGUCUUAGGGAGUGAGGACGAGGGGCUACACAGCAGUGGUGGAUGGGGCUGGAGGCAGAGCUCCCUCCCAGGCUGGACCACAGGGCUCUUUCACAUGAGCAGAGGGUAAACAUCUGUCACCAGGAGCAUUUCACUGGCGGGAGCUGGGCCACAUGCCUGUGCCUGCAAAGCAUCAUCAUGAUGGUCCAGCCCCCGCAAGCCUCACCUUGGGGCUGGGCAGAAACCCAGGGGAGCUGAGGCAUGGGGGGCCAUUUCGUAGCAGUCAGCAGUGUCUGCCAGAGAAGCAGGGGGAGAGCCAGGACUUGGGGAGCCCAAGUGGAACCCUUUAAGCAUAUCUUGUACUGUCUGCAUUGUCAUCCUCAGGGCAGUUGGGUAGAAACUCGAUUCACUCUUUUUUUUUUUUUGGUAUUUUUAGGGCAGCACUUGCAGGAUAUGAAGGUUCCCAGGCUAGGGGUAGAAUCAGAGCUGCAGCUGCUGGCCUCUGCCACAGCCACAGCCAUAGCAACUGCCAUAUCCUAGCUGCAUCUGUGACCUACACCACAGCUCAUGGCAACGCCAGAUCCCUAAUCCACUGAGCAAGGCCAGGGAUUGAAACUGAGCCCCUGUAGAUACAAGUCGGAUUUGGUAACCAGUGAGCCACAAGGGAAUGCCUCACUUCACUCUUUAAAGUAAAACAUACUAAGGUACUAAGGUAAGUCCCCUGAUUAAAAGUGCACAGUGCUUCCACAACCAAAGAAGAGUAAUUUCUACUGUUUGGGAUUGCACAAGAAAUUUUCUGAGUUUGGAGAAAGACCAUUUGAAGUAUUUCUAAUAGAUUAUCUUGAAUUUUCUAUAAACUUGAUCAUCUCUAAUUCUUUUAUCAGCUUCUAAUACAUACAUUUCUAUUUUUUUUUUUUUGUCUUUUUUUUUUUGCGGGGGGGCAGCUACCCCCAUGGCAUAUGGAGGUUCCCAGCCUAGGGGUCGAAUCAAACCUGUAGCUGUUGGCUUACACCAUUAGCCACAGCAAUGCCAGAUCUGGGGCAUAUCUGCAACCUAUACCACAGCCCACAGCAAUGCCAGAACCUUAACCCACUGAGCAAGGCCAGGGAUCAAACCUGCGUCCUCAUGGAUACUAGUCAGAUUCGUUUCUGCUGAGCCACAAUGGGAACUCCCCCAUACACUUCUUUAAAAUUAUAUUUGUUACCUAUUUUCUGUUAUGUUAUACAUAUUAAUAGAAAACAUGGAGAGCUCCCCAUUUGGUGCAAUGGGAUCAGCAGCAUCUUGGGAGAGCUGGGACAUGGGUUUGAUCCCUAGUCUGGCACAGUGGAUUAAAGAUCACACAUUGCUGCAGCUGCAGCUUAGGUUGCAACUGCGGCUUGUAUCUGAUUCCUGAUCUGGGAGCUCCAUAUGCUGCAGGGCAGCAAAAAAUGAAGAGGGAAAAAAAAAUGGAAAACACAAGGGAAAAAAAACCUCCAAUUCCUUCUGUAGCUUUUUCAUCCAGUCUUUUCUCUAUAGGUAGAUUUUUGUUGUUGGGAUUUUUUUUUUUAAAUUUUUAGAUACAUUUAUUAGGUGGUUGUACAUGUAAUUUUAUAUUCUACUUUUUUCACUUACAUAGCAUAAGUAGUUUCACUUCAUUUCACCUUAUACUUGCAAACAUAAAUUUGAAUAGCUAUAUAUAUACACUAAAAUUUUUACCUUUGUUCUUUUUAAUGAGAAAUGUUCAUAAAAUAGAUAUAUGUAGAGCCAAUGAGCAUAUUAGAGAAACUUCUCUCUGUCCUCAGCCUUUGAGACAAAGUGAGAGCGACUACGUGAGAUCCCGGUGCUAACUUAGAUCCAAGAAGUAAAACUGAAUGUGACUGUCCCUUUCACAUUCCCUUAGGCCUGUGCCAGCGUGAGCUCAUUAUACUUACAACACAAAAGGAAUAUUACAGAUUUCUAUUGGGGGAGAACCUCCUAUUUUGGAAAAGCACCCAGAGGUACUUAAAUCAAAUGGUUUAUCUGAGUUAGUGCAUUCUAAGACUGUAUACUAAAAGAUAUACUUUUAAAACAUCAAAUUAUAUUGGAGUUUCCCGGUGGCUUAGUGAUUAGGGAUUUGGUGGUGUCACUGCUGUGGCCUGGGUUCAGUCCUGGCCCCAGGAACUUCCUUAUGCCUUGAGUGUGGCCAAUACAAAAAACAUCAGAUUGUAAGCAGUAAUAACUGGUUUAUGUAGAAGGUGGCUCUUUGCUUGGGGCCUCCUGGUGGUCUCCACCACUGCAGCCACCCUCUAAUAUCCCCUCCUCACUUCUGACGUCUGUCAACAAAAUAAGGACUAGCUAUUUGUUCUCUUUCUCCUGUUUAUAUUGUCUUCUUCUUCUGUUCCUGUUCCUCUUUUUCCUUCUCUCUCUGCCUCUUCCCCACUUUCUUUUAAUUCACCAAGUUUUAUUAGCUAUUUUUCACAAACACCCUGAGAAGUAGGUCAGCAGAAUUUGCCGAAGAGGAAGCAGUGGCAGAAGGUUGGGUUGCUGUCUCCGGGUCCAUGGGACACCCAGUGGAGUAGCCCUGUCCUGGAGCCCGCCUCUUCAGCCCUCCCACUCCAUGCCUGUUUCACUUCUCUGCCUAAGGCCAGGUCCCUACCAGCCUCCUCUCAGAGCUGCUUUGCAGGACCCCCAUCCCCACCUACAUCACCAAGGAGGUUGACAUCAGCAGAGGUGAGUAAAUAGUCAUCUUCAUCCUUAGGGCUCACCAUACCUGUCACCCAGUAUGACGUAGGUCCUCCUGCAAAUGGUUUCUGCACAUCCAGUCAUAAGGCUUGGGAUCCUUUCUGCACUAGUUCUUCAUCAUAGGCCAGCUUGGCUGAAGCUGAGCAGGGCAGGGUUCAGGGUCCCAAGAGGCAGCAAUGUCACUGACCCUUUAGGUGCACCAUACUGCUCAAACCAGUCUCAGUGGGGUUCCCUGUGCCCUCAAACGGUGGCUGCCAUCCCCAUGGCCGGUCCUGGUGGCUGUGGCCAGGCUGAACCACAGAGCACACUGGUGUUGAUAAGACACUGGUGCUUGCCUUCCUCAGCCUGGCUCACUCAGCAUUCUCAUCUGAAGACAGAAGAAGGCGUCCAGCCCCAGGAUUGGGCAUCGGUGGGGUAAGGCAUGUAAAAGCCAUUGAAACAGCAUCUGUCCCCACCUGCUGCCCACAAAAACCCAGCACUGCUCCUGCCCCACUAGGUCACAGAGCCAGUAGGCCCUUCAGAGUGGUGGGUACCCAGCAUAACCAAAAGGCACAGGUAUUUUCAGGGAGACCAGCUCUGAGACCAUGGCCCCACAUUGUGAGUCACCACCUAGAGAGUGAGUGGAGUUCACGCCGAUGACCAGGCUGCCAUGAGCCAGCUGGCCAUUCAGCCUUAAGCACAGCACAGGUCUGUGCCAGGAGAAAUCUCUGUGGUUUUUUGUCACCGUGGAAGACACGGUCUACCAUUGGGAGCCCCUGAGACCACCCUCCCUCCACCAAACCUGGGCCCACUCUCCCUGACCCUCCACCACCCUUGAGAACGUCCUCUGCCUUGGAAGUAACUCACACUGAAGCAAGAAGAGCUAAAACAUCUUCCUCAGAGGUUUAUAAAGUUUGUAGAGAGAUUUCUGAGCAGAGAAACUGCACUGUGUGAUUGGCUUGGCUUGGGUUUCCCUCACCUGGUGAACCCAGCUUUUACUAUAGAUUCCCUUGUAGGCUGAUGUCUGGCUUUGCUGAGCCCUUACACACAACCAGUCUCAGGGCCCUGCCUUUCACCUAACCCUGCUUCCCUAUGACCCCAUAGCCUGAGGGGACCUAUAACUCAGACAUGUCAGAGACAAUGAGUAUAUCUAGUGCCCCAGUCUUGGUUCUGAAUGACAUGCUUCAUUAAAGGGAUCAGGGCUGGUGCAGAAAUGUGAGAGCCUGGGACAUCUCACACCACGGAGUAUGGAAGGGCUCCGCAUGUUAAAAAGACACAGCCUAAAGGGACUGCUUCUGGCUAAAUAUGGGACACGUUGAACAUUAAAAAGUGUUAGUAAUGAAUUCUCCCCCAUAUGGUGAUGACCCUUGAGGCACACUGACAGACAUAAAUGAGGAAGAAGGACAAGCCCUCUAGCACAAGAGCAUCCACUAACAAGUGUAAAAGGAGUGGUGGAGUUAGGAAAUGCACAAUGGAUAUUCACACAGGUGGGUGAAAGCUUGAUAUUUCAAGAUACUUUGAAAGUAAAAAAAACCACACAUCCUGCAGUCCUGCCAUUUAGGUUGUUAGAAGUCACCUCCUAAAGUGCUAUCUGAGUGACCUAUGUCCCUGUGCACCCACUGUGCUCAGUGUCAGUGUACUUAACACAGGCUAGGAACAUGAAUGCAGCUAAUUCAGCCCAUGUACACGUUACUGCAGUGAUUGCGGACCAAAGAAGUAUUUUCAACUCAAGAAAUACCCAUCUUUGAAGUUGUUGCUCAGUGGUAACAAACCCAACUCAUAUCCAUGAGGAUGCAGGUUCCGUCCAUGGCCUUGCUCAGUGGGUUAAGGAUCUCGCGUUGCCACAAGCUGUGGUGUAGGUCGCAGACAAGUUUUGGAUCCUGUGAGGCUGUGGCUGUGGCAUAGUCUGGCAGCUGCAGCUCCAGUUUGAGCCCUUGUCCAGGAACUUCCAUGGACCUCAUGUGCGACCCUUAAAAAAAACACAAAAAACUUCUGCUUCUUCCGUUCCCUUGUGGUGCAGGAUCUAGCAUUGUCACUGCAGUGGUCAAGGUGGAUGCUGUGGAUUGGGUUCAAUCCCUGCCCGGGGAACUUCCACAUGCCAUAGGUAGAGAAAAAAAAAAAAAUCUAUGGGUGGCCACUUUCACACAGAUUAGACCUGGCUUUGGAUUUCUGCCAAGCUGUAUAAGCUCAGGCAAGCUGCUUAACCUCUCUGAGCUUCAAUCUUUCAUCUAUGUAAUGGAGGUAAUUAUAAUACCUGUUGAAUGAACCAGCAAUUCCACCCCUAGUAUUUCCUCAAGGGAAAUGAAAACAUGUCCACACAAAGAUUUGUACAUGUCUGAUCAUAGUGGCUUUUUUCAUGACAGCCCCAAACUGGAUACAACCCAAGGCAAAAAAAGGAACAAACCAGUGCUAGUGUGGAUGAAUUUCAGAACCAUAAUGCCAAGUGAAAGAAGCCACACGAAAGGCUGUAGAUUACAUGAUUCCGUUUAUAGGAAAGUCUAGAAAAGGUAAAGCUGGUGCAGUCAGUGGUUGCCAGGGGCCAAGAGGGAGGAUUGUCUGCAGACGGGUGAUGGGGAGGUUCUACAAACGCUGCGGUGAUAGUUACAAGAUUGUAUACUUUUGUCAAAAUUUAUUGAAUUGUAUACGUAAAAUUGGUGAACUUUGUUGUGUGUGAGUUAAGCCUAAUAAAGCAAAUUAAAAACC
This 8896-nucleotide long non-coding RNA is filed under the name Sus scrofa (pig). RNAcentral describes it as "lncRNA (ENSSSCG00065013252.1)". The record is from RNAcentral. Lineage: Eukaryota; Metazoa; Chordata; Mammalia; Artiodactyla; Suidae.